GACGAACGCUGGCGGCGUGCUUAACACAUGCAAGUCGAACGAAGUGGCGAACGGGUGAGUAACGCGUAAUCAACCUGCCCUUCAGAGGGGGACAACAGUUGGAAACGACUGCUCAUACGGCAUAUUGAAGGAGGGGCCUGCGUCUGAUAGGCUAGUUGGAGGGGUAACGGUCCACCAAGGCGAUGAUCAGUAGCCGGUCUGAGGGGAUGAACGGCCACAUUGGGACUGAGACACGGCCCAGACUCCUACGGGAGGCAGCAGUGGGGAAUCUUCCGCAAUGGACGAAAGUCUGACGGAGCAACGCCGCGUGAGUGAUGACGGCCUUCGGGUUGUAAAGCUCUGUUAAUCGGGACGCGGUACCGGAAUAGAAAGCCACGGCUAACUACGUGCCAGCAGCCGCGGUAAUUC
Molecule: ribosomal RNA, 408 nt
Filed under: uncultured bacterium
Lineage: Bacteria
Description: partial 16S ribosomal RNA
Rfam family: Bacterial small subunit ribosomal RNA
Source: RNAcentral